This 67-nucleotide transfer RNA is filed under the name Branchiostoma lanceolatum (amphioxus). RNAcentral's name for it is "tRNA-Ser (AGY)". The record is from RNAcentral. Lineage: Eukaryota; Metazoa; Chordata; Leptocardii; Amphioxiformes; Branchiostomatidae.
GGCAUUGUAAGGUUUAAGGUUAUGUUGCUACCAUAACUGAUUAAAGUUCAAGUCUUUAAUAGUGUCG